Molecule: microRNA precursor, 103 nt
Filed under: Marmota monax (woodchuck)
Lineage: Eukaryota; Metazoa; Chordata; Mammalia; Rodentia; Sciuridae
Source: RNAcentral
AGUAGGAUAACUGGGUCAAGUGGUCAUUACAUUCCAAGUUUUCUGAGAAAUCUCCAUAUUGCUUUCCAGAGUGGUUGCAACAAUUUGCAGUCCCACCAGCAAU